GACGAACGCUGGCGGCGUGCCUAACACAUGCAAGUCGAACGGAGUAAACCGCUGAUUUGAAGGUAGCUUGCUACUGGAUUUUCUUGGUUUACUUAGUGGCGGACGGGCGAGUAACGCGUGAGCAACCUGCCUUUCAGAGGGGGAAUAACGACCGGAAACGGUCGCUAAUACCGCAUAACGUAUCAUGAUGGCAUCAUCGAGAUACCAAAGGAGCAAUCCGCUGAAAGAUGGGCUCGCGUCCGAUUAGAUAGUUGGUGGGGUAACGGCCGUACCAAGUCGACGAUCGGUAGCCGAACUGAGAGGUUGAACGGCCACAUUGGGACUGAGACACGGCCCAGACUCCUACGGAGGCAGCAGUAGGGAAUUUUCGGGCAAUGGGCGAAAGCCUGACCGAGCAACGCCGCGUGAGUGAAGACGGCCU
This 421-nucleotide ribosomal RNA is filed under the name uncultured bacterium. RNAcentral describes it as "bacterial SSU rRNA". It matches the Rfam family "Bacterial small subunit ribosomal RNA", at positions 28 to 417 of the family's 1533-position model. The record is from RNAcentral.